CGGCACGCUUAACACAUGCAAGUCGAACGGGAUCUUCGGAUUUAGUGGCAGACGGGUGAGUAACGCGUGGGAACCUGCCCAGUAGUAGAGAAUAACUUGAGGAAACUUAAGCUAAUACUUUAUACACCCUUCGGGGAAAAGCUUUAUGCGCUAUUGGAUGGGCCCGCGUUAGAUUAGUUUGUUGGUGAGGUAAUGGCUCACCAAGACUACGAUCUAUAGCUGGUCUGAGAGGAUGAUCAGCCACACUGGGACUGAGACACGGCCCAGACUCCUACGGGAGGCAGCAGUGGGGAAUAUUGGACAAUGGGGGCAACCCUGAUCCAGCGAUGCCGCGUGAGUGAUGAAGGCCUUCGGGUUGUAAAACUCUUUCGUCAGGGAAGAUAAUGACGGUACCUGAAGAAGAAGAUCCGGCUAACUCCGUGCCAGCAGCCGCGGUAAUACGGAGGGAUCUAGCGUUAUUCGGAAUUACUGGGCGUAAAGCGAGCGUAGGCGGAUUUGUAAGUUGGAGGUGAAAUCCCAGAGCUUAACUCUGGAACUGCCUUCAAAACUACAUUUCUUGAGUUUGGUAGAGGAGAGUGGAAUUCCUAGUGUAGAGGUGAAAUUCGUAGAUAUUAGGAGGAACACCAGUGGCGAAGGCGACUCUCUGGGCCAAUACUGACGCUGAGGUUCGAAAGCAUGGGUAGCGAACAGGAUUAGAUACCCUGGUAGUCCAUGCAGUAAACGAUGAGUGCUAGAUGUUGGGAAUUUAAAUUUCCAGUAUCGCAGUUAACGCGUUAAGCACUCCGCCUGG
Molecule: ribosomal RNA, 790 nt
Filed under: uncultured Alphaproteobacteria bacterium
Lineage: Bacteria; Pseudomonadati; Pseudomonadota; Alphaproteobacteria
Description: bacterial SSU rRNA
Rfam family: Bacterial small subunit ribosomal RNA
Source: RNAcentral